GACGAACGCUGGCGGCAUGCCUAAUACAUGCAAGUCGAGCGAACAGAUGAAGUGCUUGCUCUUCUGACGUUAGCGGCGAACGGGUGAGUAACACGUAAGGAACCUACCUAUAAGCGGGGGAUAACAUUCGGAAACGGGUGCUAAUACCGCAUAAUAUCUUCUUCCGCAUGGAAGAAGAUUGAAAGACGGCUCUGCUGUCACUUAGAGAUGACCUUGCGGUGCAUUAGUUAGUUGGUGGGGUAAUGGCCUACCAAGACGAUGAUGCAUAGCCGACCUGAGAGGGUGAUCGGCCACAUUGGGACUGAGACACGGCCCAAACUCCUACGGGAGGCAGCAGUAGGGAAUCUUCCGCAAUGGGCGAAAGCCUGACGGAGCAAUGCCGCGUGAGUGAAGAAGGCCUUCGGGUCGUAAAACUCUGUUAUAAGAGAAGAACGAAUUGUAGAGUAACUGCUACAGUCUUGACGGUAUCUUAUCAGAAAGCCACGGCUAACUACGUGCCAGCAGCCGCGGUAA
RNAcentral lists this ribosomal RNA (513 nucleotides) under uncultured bacterium. RNAcentral's name for it is "partial 16S ribosomal RNA". It matches the Rfam family "Bacterial small subunit ribosomal RNA", at positions 28 to 523 of the family's 1533-position model. The record is from RNAcentral.